CAGAAUAUAGCCAAGAUAGCAAGGCGUCUCCCUUACACUGAGAAGUCGCCCGUGCAAACCGGGCUAUUCUGA
Oryzias melastigma (Indian medaka) is the source of this 72-nucleotide non-coding RNA. Lineage: Eukaryota; Metazoa; Chordata; Actinopteri; Beloniformes; Adrianichthyidae. The record is from the annotation of a RefSeq genome assembly.